GCGUAACAACCCAUGGAGGCAUCUCCGUGGGUUUAAAGGAAGCGAUUCCGGCUACGGAUGGUCAUGCGUCGCAUUAGCUUGUUGGCGGGGUAACGGCCCACCAAGGCGACGAUGCGUAGGGGUUCUGAGAGGAAGGUCCCCCACACUGGUACUGAGACACGGACCAGACUCCUACGGGAGGCAGCAGUGAGGAAUAUUGGUCAAUGGCCGCAGGGCUGAACCAGCCAAGUCGCGUGAGGGAUGACAGUCCUAUGGAUUGUAAACCUCUUUUGUCAGGGAGCAAAGGGCGCCACGUGUGGCGUUUUGCGAGUACCUGAAGAAAAAGCAUCGGCUAACUCCGUGCCAGCAGCCGCGGUAAUACGGAGGAUGCGAGCGUUAUCCGGAUUUAUUGGGUUUAAAGGGUGCGCAGGCGGAAUGUCAAGUCAGCGGUAAAAUUUCGGGGCUCAACCCCGUCGUGCCGUUGAAACUGGCGUUCUUGAGUGAGCGAGAAGUAUGCGGAAUGCGUGGUGUAGCGGUGAAAUGCAUAGAUAUCACGCAGAACUCCGAUUGCGAAGGCAGCAUACCGGCGCUCAACUGACGCUCAUGCACGAAAGCGUGGGUAUCGAACAGGAUUAGAUACCC
Molecule: ribosomal RNA, 621 nt
Filed under: uncultured bacterium
Lineage: Bacteria
Description: bacterial SSU rRNA
Rfam family: Bacterial small subunit ribosomal RNA
Source: RNAcentral